CCCAAGGGACAGUGUCUCUCUGGAAUUAAUACUUGAGGUUUAGCUGUCAGAACAGAACAGAAACCCUCCCACUCCCCAUGUGUCAAAAAUUCCUCAAAAUUUAAGAUUUUUCUCAAAAAAUCAAGUUCCCAUUUGUGCCAAAUUUUCUAAGUCUCUAAAAUGCAGAUCACGGACACUGGAUGCAAAGUGAUGCAGCAGCGGCACUGCUCAGGUGCAAUCGAGGCACCAUGAGCACCGGGAAGGACGGCAGGAAGUGGUUUCCUGGUCUGUCGGGGGCGGCGGGGGCAUUUAUUUGCUUUCUUUAUUUUUGAUUACAGAUGAGCUGUUCAAGCUGUCCUGUCCCCGAAGCAGUGUGGGGCCUCUUGCCCCUGGCUAGGGAAGUGAUUCCUAGAUGAGGUGGUGCUCCCCACAUGCCACCGCCCUCCUCACUUGCCCACCCGCCCAGGACUCCUGGGCCGUCUGCCUUUCUUCCACCAGGACCCAGGCGGUGGUGUACCCUGUGCUGGGCCUGCCCUCUCAGCCGCACGCAUCCAGCGGGGAGAGGCUCAUGUGGUCCCAGGCCCUGCUCAGGACCCACCAGAUAAGGCGUUCAUUUAUGGGUGGAGGAGGCCACGCUCAUUUCAGUUAUUACCUGACAGGAGGGAAAAGACAGACAUGCCGAACAGUUUGUAUGUGUAUAUGGAAUAUAUUUCCACUGGACUUUGCAACCAAAAUCCACAUCUUGUUUUAAAAACUACAUCCAUCUAUCAAUCCCCAUUAGAAAAAAUAUAAUUUAUAGGGACAAAAA
Galeopterus variegatus (Sunda flying lemur) is the source of this 787-nucleotide long non-coding RNA. RefSeq lists it as uncharacterized. The record is from RefSeq and is a predicted model, not a curated record. NCBI's taxonomy places the organism in Eukaryota, Metazoa, Chordata, Mammalia, Dermoptera, Cynocephalidae. The transcript is spliced from 3 exons.